This 885-nucleotide ribosomal RNA is filed under the name Shigella sonnei. RNAcentral describes it as "partial 23S ribosomal RNA". It matches the Rfam family "Bacterial large subunit ribosomal RNA", at positions 296 to 1190 of the family's 2925-position model. The record is from RNAcentral. Lineage: Bacteria; Pseudomonadati; Pseudomonadota; Gammaproteobacteria; Enterobacterales; Enterobacteriaceae.
CAGCCCAGAGCCUGAAUCAGUGUGUGUGUUAGUGGAAGCGUCUGGAAAGGCGUGCGAUACAGGGUGACAGCCCCGUACACAAAAAUGCACAUAUUGUGAGCUUGAUGAGUAGGGCGGGACACGUGGUAUCCUGUCUGAAUAUGGGGGGACCAUCCUCCAAGGCUAAAUACUCCUGACUGACCGAUAGUGAACCAGUACCGUGAGGGAAAGGCGAAAAGAACCCCGGCGAGGGGAGUGAAAAAGAACCUGAAACCGUGUACGUACAAGCAGUGGGAGCACGCUUAGGCGUGUGACUGCGUACCUUUUGUAUAAUGGGUCAGCGACUUAUAUUCUGUAGCAAGGUUAACCGAAUAGGGGAGCCGAAGGGAAACCGAGUCUUAACUGGGCGUUAAGUUGCAGGGUAUAGACCCGAAACCCGGUGAUCUAGCCAUGGGCAGGUUGAAGGUUGGGUAACACUAACUGGAGGACCGAACCGACUAAUGUUGAAAAAUUAGCGGAUGACUUGUGGCUGGGGGUGAAAGGCCAAUCAAACCGGGAGAUAGCUGGUUCUCCCCGAAAGCUAUUUAGGUAGCGCCUCGUGAAUUCAUCUCCGGGGGUAGAGCACUGUUUCGGCAAGGGGGUCAUCCCGACUUACCAACCCGAUGCAAACUGCGAAUACCGGAGAAUGUUAUCACGGGAGACACACGGCGGGUGCUAACGUCCGUCGUGAAGAGGGAAACAACCCAGACCGCCAGCUAAGGUCCCAAAGUCAUGGUUAAGUGGGAAACGAUGUGGGAAGGCCCAGACAGCCAGGAUGUUGGCUUAGAAGCAGCCAUCAUUUAAAGAAAGCGUAAUAGCUCACUGGUCGAGUCGGCCUGCGCGGAAGAUGUAACGGGGCUAAACCAU